AUUGAACGCUGGCGGCAUGCUUUACACAUGCAAGUCGAGCGGCAGCGCGGGGGCAACCUUGGCGGCGAGCGGCGAACGGGUGAGUAACGCAUCGGAACGUAUCCUGUAGUGGGGAAUAACUCACCGAAAGGUGAGCUAAUACCGCAUAAGCUCUGAGGAGGAAAGCGGGGGACCGAAAGGCCUCGCGCUGCAGGAGCGGCCGAUGUCCGAUUAGCUAGUUGGUGAGGUAAAGGCUCACCAAGGCGACGAUCGGUAGCUGGUCUGAGAGGAUGAUCAGCCACACUGGGACUGAGACACGGCCCAGACUCCUACGGGAGGCAGCAGUGGGGAAUUUUGGACAAUGGGGGAAACCCUGAUCCAGCCAUGCCGCGUGAGUGAAGAAGGCCUCGGUUGGUUAAAGGACUCUUUCGGUACGGAACGGAAAUUAGUCUUGGGUACUAAUAACUACUGAGUAGAUGACGGUACCGUAAGAAGAAG
Molecule: ribosomal RNA, 477 nt
Filed under: uncultured bacterium
Lineage: Bacteria
Description: bacterial SSU rRNA
Rfam family: Bacterial small subunit ribosomal RNA
Source: RNAcentral